This 605-nucleotide ribosomal RNA is filed under the name Staphylococcus epidermidis. RNAcentral's name for it is "bacterial SSU rRNA". It matches the Rfam family "Bacterial small subunit ribosomal RNA", at positions 929 to 1533 of the family's 1533-position model. The record is from RNAcentral. Lineage: Bacteria; Bacillati; Bacillota; Bacilli; Caryophanales; Staphylococcaceae.
GCGGUGGAGCAUGUGGUUUAAUUCGAAGCAACGCGAAGAACCUUACCAAAUCUUGACAUCCUCUGACCCCUCUAGAGAUAGAGUUUUCCCCUUCGGGGGACAGAGUGACAGGUGGUGCAUGGUUGUCGUCAGCUCGUGUCGUGAGAUGUUGGGUUAAGUCCCGCAACGAGCGCAACCCUUAAGCUUAGUUGCCAUCAUUAAGUUGGGCACUCUAAGUUGACUGCCGGUGACAAACCGGAGGAAGGUGGGGAUGACGUCAAAUCAUCAUGCCCCUUAUGAUUUGGGCUACACACGUGCUACAAUGGACAAUACAAAGGGUAGCGAAACCGCGAGGUCAAGCAAAUCCCAUAAAGUUGUUCUCAGUUCGGAUUGUAGUCUGCAACUCGACUAUAUGAAGCUGGAAUCGCUAGUAAUCGUAGAUCAGCAUGCUACGGUGAAUACGUUCCCGGGUCUUGUACACACCGCCCGUCACACCACGAGAGUUUGUAACACCCGAAGCCGGUGGAGUAACCAUUUGGAGCUAGCCGUCGAAGGUGGGACAAAUGAUUGGGGUGAAGUCGUAACAAGGUAGCCGUAUCGGAAGGUGCGGCUGGAUCACCUCCUUU